RNAcentral lists this ribosomal RNA (36 nucleotides) under Taiwanobryopsis warburgii. RNAcentral's name for it is "Himantocladium warburgii partial 26S ribosomal RNA". The record is from RNAcentral. Lineage: Eukaryota; Viridiplantae; Streptophyta; Bryopsida; Hypnales; Neckeraceae.
CAGACCUCUAAUCGGAAAAGACUACCUGCUGAGUUU